This 253-nucleotide ribosomal RNA is filed under the name uncultured bacterium. RNAcentral describes it as "partial 16S ribosomal RNA". It matches the Rfam family "Bacterial small subunit ribosomal RNA", at positions 524 to 776 of the family's 1533-position model. The record is from RNAcentral.
UACGAAGGGGGCUAGCGUUGUUCGGAAUUACUGGGCGUAAAGCGCACGUAGGCGGGUCGUUAAGUCGGGGGUGAAAUCCUGGAGCUCAACUCCAGAACUGCCUUCGAUACUGGCGACCUAGAGUCCGGAAGAGGUGAGUGGAACUCCUAGUGUAGAGGUGGAAUUCGUAGAUAUUAGGAAGAACACCAGUGGCGAAGGCGGCUCACUGGCCCGGUACUGACGCUGAGGUGCGAAAGCGUGGGGAGCAAACAGG